Long non-coding RNA from Megachile rotundata (alfalfa leafcutting bee), 1122 nucleotides. The record is from RefSeq and is a predicted model, not a curated record. Lineage: Eukaryota; Metazoa; Arthropoda; Insecta; Hymenoptera; Megachilidae.
AGGUUCUCAACCUUGAUCACAUGACUGUCCAUUCCAGGGAACAUACGUAGGUGUGUAAAUAUAAAACCUAGCGCCACGGAUAUUUCGACAAUCAAAAUACAUUCUUAUAUAUUUCAGUGUAACAAUUUCGUUACACGAUCAUAAUACACUGCGAAAAGAAAAGAAUUUUGCAUACAAUUUCGAUAGCUUUACUUUUACGAAUACUAACAUUUGAAUGUAAACUAUUUCACAUUAGAGCGUAAUUAAAGCAAUUACAUACUAGUAAAAUAUUCAUAUUGUGAACGUCAGAGGACUUCUUUGACAAUGAUCAGUGCGCAGAUUGUUAUUUUGAGUAUUAUGUAUCUGCUUUAUUUUUAUAAACAUGUAUCCGCGUUCAAAAUAACUCGUCGAUAUAAUCAAUAGAUACUCGAAAAAUUGUAUUAUUAUUUUAAAUCAUUCUGAAAUGAAGUCAGUAACUGAUUUUAAGUCAAUAACUGACGUUCGUAAAUACGUUUGAAAUUAUAUGCGUCGUAAAUUUAAAAUUGCUGAAACAACACGUGGUAUCAAUCAUUUUAUUUUUAUUUUUUCACGAUUCCGUUACAUGAUCACUGGUGCGCCGGCACGAAAAUAAGUUCGAUAAGUCGCAUUUAAUUGUGCGAUUGUUACGACACUGACAGAUACACGUGUUGACGAUCAGGACCCUAAAACCGAGGAAGAUGAUAUAACGCGGUUGGUGGGGAUCCAUGGAGCUGACGACAUAUCGACCACUGGCAAAGCAAAUUUCUGAACGUAUCGUACGAUUACGAUACGUUUUGAAAGCCUCCGAGUGAGAAUCACUGUUUUAAAGAUGUGACUGUUGAUAACGCAAGUUUGUCUUGUCAGGUGUCAUCUCAUGAUUCAAUUUCUUCAUAAUAAUUCUUAAAUCGAUGUAACUCGGAUUAUCUGAUGCAACCUCGUGUAAUUCUAAAGAUUGCAGUACAACGUACACGUAAUAAAUAGUAAUUAUUUCUACGUUUGCAUUAGUAUAGCUUAGUAUAAAUUAGUAUAGUUAAUGUAUGACUGAUAUAUAUCUUAUGUAUUACUUAUUCAUUAGUGCAAAGAAUUAACUGUCAAAUAAAUUUGGAGCUUCCUUGUUAAUUUCUA